UCUGGUGUAUGGCUUUGCUAGUUUGCUUCAAUAGGGUGGUUGUACAGAUGGUCUGCUCUCAGACCGAAAGAAGACAACAAUUGCAGCCACCACUGUCAUGUUCCAAAGAAGGGUAUGUGAUGGCAAAACAUUUGUUUCCAGAGUUUCCCUCCCGGUUGGACAAAUUGGUACAGCUGUUCUCCAUUUUUUAACCUGCUAAUGUAAAUAUCAGAAAAUGCUUGUUUUAAUCUAGAUGGUGAAAACUGAAAAGCUAGUUGGAAAUUAGACAGUUAUAAUGUAAGGUGUUGAUUGCUGGAAAUUUUCUGUAAUCAAAACUGUGUAUAUGCUUCUCGAUCAACUUCUAAUGUUAUAAUUUAAAAAUGUUAAAAUUGAUAUUUCACA
Ipomoea triloba (trilobed morning glory) is the source of this 381-nucleotide long non-coding RNA. RefSeq lists it as uncharacterized. The record is from RefSeq and is a predicted model, not a curated record. The transcript has 2 exons. NCBI's taxonomy places the organism in Eukaryota, Viridiplantae, Streptophyta, Magnoliopsida, Solanales, Convolvulaceae.